Molecule: long non-coding RNA, 938 nt
Organism: Sorghum bicolor (sorghum)
Lineage: Eukaryota; Viridiplantae; Streptophyta; Magnoliopsida; Poales; Poaceae
Exons: 3
Source: RefSeq, a predicted model, not a curated record
AUAGUGCAUUCAUGUGACUAAUUUAGCAGUGAUGAUAUUAUCUAAAGAUUAUAAUUCCAAUUCUACUUCUGAUGGUCAUGACAAAAAGAAAACUAAUUCAUAUACGGGCUAUGAUUUAUGACAUGUUUUUUGUCAUCCAUACCCCCUCUUCAGUGACCUUUCUUUUGAGAUGUUGCAUCCAACUGCUUACUUGACUAAUGGAAUCCUAUGAUGCUACUCCCAUAUUCCUUAAUAGUGUUAGAAGUUUUGUAGGUUUAUAAGAGCGAAUGAGCAAACAAAUGAAAAGAAUCUUUUUCUGAUUUAUGAUGACAGAUAUACAAUGAAAUAUGAUUCCCUAUAUUUUAUCCUGCAAUCUUAGUGUCAUAUAGGUUGUAGCUUUCUAAUUCCCUUUAUUUUUUGUCUCAGUUUUGCUCUCUAGAUUUUCCUACAUUCCUUGCUUUCUUUUAUCCACUUCACAAAUAUGAUUUUCCUUUCCUUUACAAUGCAAGCUGCACACUGGGAAAAUAGUCUGGGUUUGGCGCUUCCGAGGCUACUGCAGAUCACAACUUAUUCUUAGUAUCCAUGAUCACUGGGAAAAUCGGUCGGAUUAAAACCUGUAUACUAGACCCACGCAGUUCAAUUAUGAGAUGGGGUGCAUGCCUCUGGUGCAGAGCAGGACCUGUCGGAUGGGACCCAAAGCACCUUGGUGACCCUGAUCGCCUUCGCCGGUGUUGCGGUCGUGCCUGCACUGCUUCGCCACGCCGGGAUCACAAGCUGGGGCGUCCCAGCCCUCGCCGGCAUCGCACACUGAACCGUCAACGUGAGCCAUCUUCGGAGUCGUUUUUAUGUAUUGAACUUGUGAACUUGGAAUAAUGUGUACUUUUGAAUGUGUGGUUUGUAAUAUAUUGUGAAUUUCGUACAAAUUUGGUCGUUUGUGAUAUAAAUAUAUAUAAAUAUGG